CCAAGAAACUGGUAGCGUCGGUGUUGUGAGCCAACAAAAGGCUGGCAACUGGCAAUUGGCAACUGGCAGCUGGGCAGCUGGCAGCUGGCAACUGGCACAGUCACCGGCAAUGGCCACCGUGUAAUGUGUGUGUGGAGAGUGGUGUGUGUGUGCCGGUUGCCCACAGGGCACGGGAAUUGGCUUUGGCUUUGGCUUUGACUUUUGAGCGACGCGUAGCCAGCCAAGAAAAGUAGCCAGCAGCCAGUACGUCAGCCAGAGAGCCAGCCAGUUAGCCAACAGCAGCAACAACAACAACAGCAAUUACUGGCCAAAAAGGUGGUGAUGUGAUGAAGGUCCAAGAAGACGAUGACGACGCAGCAGCAGCAGAGACAGCGACAGCGACUGCAUCCUUUGCCAAGACGGCGCAGGAUGACAGUCAAGGAAAAGGAAUAUUUCUUGGCCGCUAACGCAGUUGGAUUAGCCAAGUCAAACAAUGCUUUGACCCUGGCCAAGAUCACACGAAACCAAACGAACGCCAAUUGACAGCUCGCACACACACACACACACACACACACUUGCAGGCAUAGUUUGCACAGUGGUGCAGUGGGGCAGCAGCAACAACAACAACAACAACAGCAGCUGCUUCACAGGAUGCGUUCGUCUCGAUUAUACAGCAAACAAUAACAAAAACAAUUAUUAACAAACAAACAAAAAACGUGUCGCGCCGCAACAACAACAACAACAACAACAACCAGUGCGCUGUGUUAACUAGACGUGUAUGUGUGUGUGUGUAGAGUGUGAAGUGUAGUGUAGUGUGUUUGGCAACCUUUUGAACUGACCAACAUGCGCCGCCAACUCUUUUGGCCAACUCUUUUUGCCCAGUGCCAAAAAAAGCAACGUGCGCCAAUGGAGCAACUGGCGCAGCGCCCAGACAACAACAACAACAGAAUGUGGCCAUAACCAUUGUUUCAAACUGGCCACUAAUGAUUUGUCAGCCAUGUCAGCGCUGCAAAUUGGCCCAAAGCACACGCGUGCGAAACCUCAAAGGAUGCGCAUCAGGCAGUGACAAAACAUCGCGCAUACGCCGCGUAUAACAAGCUAAAUAAAUAAUUAUAAUUAAUUACAUAAACUUAAUCAAUCUUCAAACUUAAUUCAAGUAGUGUUUAUGAACAGAACAAAUAUUUCAAACAAUAAAAAAUACAAAAAAAAAAUAUGUAGCAAACUUAGCGUUAAAAUACUGCAAUGACAAAUUAUAUAACCGCAAACUAUAAUAUAACCCGCAAACAAUUAUGCAAUUUAAACUUAAAAACAUUAGUGCAAUCUAUAUUAUAAUAAUUUAAAUACUUGCUAUUAAAAGUCAAGUAUUUCAAGUUAUUAACAGUUAUAUUUGUUUAAAUUGGUUACUGAAAGCACUCGUAGACAAUUUGUACGGCUAAGAAUGAAAAAAAUGUGGAUCAGCGCGAGUUUUGUGUGUCGCUGGGAAAUGAUUCUGACAUUCAACAAAUGUGAUGACAGCUCAUGAAAAAUGCGUGCGGAAAAUGGUGUGCGGAAAAGCAACAGACAGGAAGACAACCUGAGUGGUUACUUGAGUGGACAAUGGCGAUGCGUUAAAGGAACCUCGUUGGCCAAUUGGCGGCCAAGCCGCUGCAGCUUGUCCUGGAACUGACCAACCAAUGACAGCGCAGCGGAUAAAAUUCCAAGUUGGCUGAAGGCAGCGCAGUGCACUUGGCAAACGUACAAAGUACACAGCAAGUAGCACACACACACACACACACUCGUGCACACACUCACACGCAAGCACACAGACUUGAUGGCUGCGCUCACACGCGCAUGAGAAGAACGUUGAUAAUAAAUCACGCAUACGCCUGUUGGCCCAGCAACAAAAAAACUAUUCGUGCUUGUAACGAGUGUGUGUCUGUUAUAUACAUAUAUAUGUGUGCGUGUGUGUGUCAAGACUUGCAGCGUCGGUUUGCCAACUGCAGUGCAGUGCUCGUUUCAGCCUGGCUCGGACGAGUUGGCCGGCAGGCAAUUGCACGAACGAUGCCUCCUUUGCAGGCAGCGCAUUGGGCAACCCCUGCACAAAAAAAAAUAAACAAAAAAAAAAAGCAGAAGCCGACCAAUCAGAACGACGCUUGUGCGCACCAUCCUUGGCCAAAACAGCAACCGAGCGAUGCCAACUAAACCAAGCUGAUAACAUUUUGUAUAUAUGCAUCCAAAAUAUAUUUGAUUUUAGUUCA
This is a long non-coding RNA of Drosophila innubila, 2216 nucleotides long. RefSeq lists it as uncharacterized. The transcript is spliced from 2 exons. Lineage: Eukaryota; Metazoa; Arthropoda; Insecta; Diptera; Drosophilidae. The record is from RefSeq and is a predicted model, not a curated record.